This 254-nucleotide ribosomal RNA is filed under the name uncultured bacterium. RNAcentral describes it as "partial 16S ribosomal RNA". It matches the Rfam family "Bacterial small subunit ribosomal RNA", at positions 524 to 776 of the family's 1533-position model. The record is from RNAcentral.
UACGUAGGGUGCGAGCGUUGUCCGGAAUUACUGGGCGUAAAGCGUGCGCAGGCGGUUAUGCAAGACAGAUGUGAAAUCCCCGGGCUUAACCUGGGAACUGCAUUGGUGACUGGCAGGCUUUGAGUGUGGCAGAGGGAGGUAGAAUUCCACGUGUAGCAGUGAAAUGCGUAGAGAUGUGGAGGAAUACCGAUGGCGAAGGCAGCCUCCUGGGCCAACACUGACGCUCAUGCACGAAAGCGUGGGGAGCAAACAGG